AGCUCAGGUGGUUAGAGCGCACCCCUGAUAAGGGUGAGGUCGGUAGUUCGAGUCUACCC
This 59-nucleotide transfer RNA is filed under the name Bacillota bacterium. RNAcentral describes it as "tRNA-Ile". It matches the Rfam family "tRNA", at positions 9 to 64 of the family's 71-position model. From Rfam's summary of the family: Transfer RNA (tRNA) molecules are approximately 80 nucleotides in length. Their secondary structure includes four short double-helical elements and three loops (D, anti-codon, and T loops). Lineage: Bacteria; Bacillati; Bacillota. The record is from RNAcentral.